This 73-nucleotide transfer RNA is filed under the name Zootermopsis nevadensis. It matches the Rfam family "tRNA". From Rfam's summary of the family: Transfer RNA (tRNA) molecules are approximately 80 nucleotides in length. Their secondary structure includes four short double-helical elements and three loops (D, anti-codon, and T loops). Further hydrogen bonds mediate the characteristic L-shaped molecular structure. tRNAs have two regions of fundamental functional importance: the anti-codon, which is responsible for specific mRNA codon recognition, and the 3' end, to which the tRNAs corresponding amino acid is attached (by aminoacyl-tRNA synthetases). tRNAs cope with the degeneracy of the genetic code in two manners: having more than one tRNA (with a specific anti-codon) for a particular amino acid; and 'wobble' base-pairing, i.e. permitting non-standard base-pairing at the 3rd anti-codon position. The record is from Rfam by way of RNAcentral. Lineage: Eukaryota; Metazoa; Arthropoda; Insecta; Blattodea; Termopsidae.
GCCACGGUGGUCUAGCGGUUAGAACACUGGCCUUGUAAUCCUGGGGUCUCGGGCUUGAUUCCCGGCGGUGCCC